UACGAAGGAUCCAAGCGUUAUCCGGAAUCAUUGGGUUUAAAGGGUCCGUAGGCGGGCAGCUAAGUCAGUGGUGAAAGUCUGUAGCUCAACUAUAGAAUUGCCAUUGAUACUGGUUGUCUUGAAUUAUUAUGAAGUGAUUAGAAUAAGUAGUGUAGCGGUGAAAUGCAUAGAUAUUACUUAGAAUACCAAUUGCGAAGGCAGAUCACUAAUAAUAUAUUGACGCUGAUGGACGAAAGCGUGGGGAGCGAACAGG
This 253-nucleotide ribosomal RNA is filed under the name uncultured bacterium. RNAcentral's name for it is "partial 16S ribosomal RNA". It matches the Rfam family "Bacterial small subunit ribosomal RNA", at positions 524 to 776 of the family's 1533-position model. The record is from RNAcentral.